GAUGAACGCUAGCUACAGGCUUAACACAUGCAAGUCGAGGGGAAACGGCAUUACGUGCUUGCACUUUUUGGACGUCGACCGGCGCACGGGUGAGUAACGCGUAUCCAACCUUCCCAUGACUAAGGGAUAACCUGCCGAAAGGCAGACUAAUACCUUAUGGUCUUCACUGACGGCAUCAGAUGUGAAGUAAAGAUUUAUCGGUUAUGGAUGGGGAUGCGUCUGAUUAGCUUGUUGGCGGGGUAACGGCCCACCAAGGCAACGAUCAGUAGGGGUUCUGAGAGGAAGGUCCCCCACAUUGGAACUGAGACACGGUCCAAACUCCUACGGGAGGCAGCAGUGAGGAAUAUUGGUCAAUGGGCGAGAGCCUGAACCAGCCAAGUAGCGUGCAGGAGGACGGCCCUAUGGGUUGUAAACUGCUUUUGUAUGGGGAUAAAGUCAAUCACGUGUGAUUGUUUGCAGGUACCAUACGAAUAAGGACCGGCUAAUUCCGUG
This 492-nucleotide ribosomal RNA is filed under the name uncultured bacterium. RNAcentral's name for it is "partial 16S ribosomal RNA". It matches the Rfam family "Bacterial small subunit ribosomal RNA", at positions 28 to 507 of the family's 1533-position model. The record is from RNAcentral.